CCUACGGGAGGCAGCAGUGGGGAAUAUUGCACAAUGGGGGAAACCCUGAUGCAGCGACGCCGCGUGAGUGAAGAAGUAUUUCGGUAUGUAAAGCUCUAUCAGCAGGGAAGAAAAUGUCAGUACCUGACCAAGAAGCGCCGGCUAACUACGUGCCAGCAGCCGCGGUAAUACGUAGGGGGCAAGCGUUCUCCGGAUUUACUGGGUGGAAAGGGAGCGUAGCCGGUUAUGUAAGUCUGGUGUGAAAGCCCGGGGGACAACCCCGGGACUACUUUGGAAACUGUGUAACUGGAGUAUAAGAGGGGCAGGCGGAAAUCAGGGUGUAGGGGUGAAGUGGGUAGAUAUCAGGAGGAACACCAGCGGCGAAGGC
Molecule: ribosomal RNA, 367 nt
Filed under: uncultured bacterium
Lineage: Bacteria
Description: partial 16S ribosomal RNA
Rfam family: Bacterial small subunit ribosomal RNA
Source: RNAcentral